Molecule: long non-coding RNA, 2916 nt
Organism: Cottoperca gobio
Lineage: Eukaryota; Metazoa; Chordata; Actinopteri; Perciformes; Bovichtidae
Source: Ensembl
GGAGCACCCCCCCGUCCACAGCUCAGAAUGUGUUCGCAGCUUCUCCUCUCAGCUGAGGUUUCUAAAUGAAACCCGAGAAGUCCGCGACAGCAGCGCGGUGCGGAUCCGCCGGACGCCUUUUCGCCCUUCUCAUCACCGGUUCCAUGAUUUGCGCAAGAAAAUCUAAUUUUUGAAAGAAUGAUUAAUUGGAGAAUGACUAAUGAAGACACAUUCUACUGCUCUCUGUCCUGCCUCGUCUUAUUUACACUAGUCUAGCCCGGUUUGGGGGUGGGCACGCAGGAUUCCUGUGUGUUAAACCAGAGCGCGCGUCAUCUCUCCACUGAUGUCCAUUGAUUUAUGAUUUUUGGGACAUUCAUCGGGUUUCGUGCAAGGACUUUGAUCCGUUCCAGGGACACGGUGGCUUCCUCUCUUUUCCUAGUUGUCCAAUUAGGAGCAGGAGACUUGUAACUUUCUUCUCCCAUGUGGGGAAACGCUCUAUUCCUCCUGGGGGAGACGCGGUUCGGCCGUGCCUUUUAUUAUUUUUAGGUUUGCUGCUCGCAAAGACUGAAGCUGAACAAUCAUAUUUCUGAGGACCUCGACAGGCAUCACUGUCACACACACACUCACACACACACACACGCGCGCGCGCGCUGAAAUACUCGUGCAGAUACAUUUAUUUCUAUUGCGCAUUAUCCAACUUGAGAGCCCCGAAGAACUGCAACAGCAUCGUGUGGGGGGGCUAACACCUGCAGAGAGGCGAUCUCUCCACCGGCUACUGGGACAACUGGGAUUAAACAUCCGCCGGCUGGGAUUCUACCAUGUCAGGUGUACGGGGCUGCAGAUGGACUGUCCUCAUCUGUGUGGCGGCGCUUUCAUGUGCACCUCAAAACCCAAAUACAUAAAUCACAUUUACUCGACGAGAAGCUGGAGAAGCUGGAGAAGCAGGAGAAGCAGGAGAAGCUGGAGAAGCUGGAGAAGCUGGAGAAGCAGGAGAAGCUGGAGAAGCAGGAGAAGCUGGAGAAGCAGGAGAAGCUGGAGAAGCAGGAGAAGAGGAGAAGCUGGAGAAGCUGGAGAAGCUGGAGAAGCAGGAGAAGCAUGGAGAAGCAGGAGAAGCUGGAGAAGCAGGAGAAGCUGGAGAAGCAGGAGAAGCUGGAGAAGCAGGAGAAACAGGAGAAGCAGGAGAAGCUGGAGAAGCUGGAUAUUCUCUCAUUUCAGAAUCUUGAAAAAUGCCAAAAUGUAUUAAAGUUUCUGAAUGGAGUUCUGUCGAUGUCGGACUUGCAGCUCCAAAAACCCAACAUGUGAGAGUAGCAGACGCAGCUUGUCACUCAGUAAAUGUCAUAUUUAAUAGUAAUGAUCUGCUUUAUUAAUCCUGAGACCUGCGAGUUCACCAGGAGGGUCACACUGACGUGUUGAAAGAAUAUACGGAUGAUGAGCGACCGUGUUACAUGCAAGGUGUCAGAUGUUGUGAGUCCUGCUCUGCAGUGGGCUGUGUAGCAUGUCCUGUGCAGCAGCGUUUGCCCAGUCAUGGUUUGCACGUCGUUGGCAGCGUUCCCAGCAGCAGCCUAUCUCUUAGAGUAGACACUGGACAGAGCAGACAAAGCAUCAGUGUGACAACCCACCUCUGAUGUUCCAGCCUAAUUGAUUAACGUGUGGUGAAACGAAGCCUUUGCUGUCGCCGUGUUUUGAAAAGGUUUCCAUUUGUAUGGAGAACACUGCGCUAUAUGCAUUAGAAACCCCGCUGCAUGACCACAUGCAUCACCGUGUGAAUGCAAAUGAGGCACUGAUGCCGCUUGUUCUGUUUCUGUCAGGAUGUCACAUUGUUGUUGGUACACCUGCCACCUUUGUUUGCGUCCAUGCAGCAGCUUCUUCUCAGUCCAUGCUUCAGGGUAGAGCUUUUUUCGUGACAUUUGCUGUAAGUUUUUAAGACAAUAAAUAAACCUGUUUGCAGUAUGGCACCCUUUUUGCAAGAUGACUUUUUGUAUUUCUUUUCUUUUCAGUGACAGAUGGGCUCAAGGCUAAAACCAAUCUGUGCUCUCUGAACAGCAGGGCAGCCAUCUACUGGAAACAAUAAGAGAAAUAAAGCUGUUACUGGAAAGACGCAGCUUUGUUUUACUCACAGCCUCGUUCUGUAAUUACACUCAGAUCUCCACGACGACCUGUCCAUCUGCUGUUCUCUUUGUAAUUGUUGGAAUAGGCCAAAGCAGUUUUUCUUUAAGUGUAGAAACAGUCUUUGAAGCCUUGUACUUGUACCUUGUACUUGAAUCCCUUUCGGAGCUUGAAGCUAAGUUUCUGCUCUUGCGUGGCCGUUAGCGUGCACGGUAGCGUGCAUGCUCAGGAUGUUGUCCUUCAUCAGCGGUGAAAUGAGCCUUUUGUGAAACCUUAGUUCCCUGAGAUGUGCCAGAUCUACCCAGGAGCAGACCCAGGAGCUCCAGGGCUCUUUGGUACUGCCUGCUGAAAGCAGUACACUACUUGUUUACAAUGCAUUACCCCCUUUCUUACAAGACCAAGAUGUCAGGAUCUUGAAAUAUUAGAAUCAUGAAAGCGUGCAUGUUUGGUUUUGUUGUGCAAGAAGUGAAUCCCUCAAUAGAAAUCAAUUUACCACGUUUGAAUAUUCCCCCACUUGAAUGUACUGAAAAGCCCCGUUUGUUAAGAGAGUAGAUUAAGCACAGUAAAUAAAAUCUGCAUUAGAGGUUCUUGAGUUCAUGGAUCAGCGUGAAGCCUGAGCAGCAGACGGCUGUUUGCCAUUUAUUUCACGUCUGUGAAGACCUUGUGAGACAAAACCUUCCUGUCUUAUUCAAGGCUUCGAGCACCGCUCCUCCAAAACACUUGAUCUUGAAUGGUUAAGCUGCGUCUGUGUGUCAGAACUCUUACAGGCAUGGGUUAUAUUUAAACACAUUUGAACACCUGCAUGCAGCCCGUCUGCUGCUCCCAAUUAAG